Molecule: ribosomal RNA, 253 nt
Filed under: uncultured bacterium
Lineage: Bacteria
Description: partial 16S ribosomal RNA
Rfam family: Bacterial small subunit ribosomal RNA
Source: RNAcentral
UACGUAGGGUGCAAGCGUUGUCCGGAAUUAUUGGGCGUAAAGAGCUCGUAGGCGGCUUGCCGCGUCGGCUGUGAAAACCUAGGGCUCAACCCUGGGCCUGCAGCCGAUACGGGCAAGCUAGAAUUCGGUAGGGGAGACUGGAAUUCCUGGUGUAGCGGUGAAAUGCGCAGAUAUCAGGAGGAACACCGGUGGCGAAGGCGGGUCUCUGGGCCGAUAUUGACGCUGAGGAGCGGAAGCGUGGGGAGCGAACAGG